AAAUAAGAAACAAUGUAUUGUAUUUAGUUUCGACCUAAAAAUUAGAUUUUUUUAAUCCUUAUUUG
RNAcentral lists this transfer RNA (65 nucleotides) under Colasposoma dauricum. Its description in RNAcentral is "tRNA-Arg". Lineage: Eukaryota; Metazoa; Arthropoda; Insecta; Coleoptera; Chrysomelidae. The record is from RNAcentral.